UACGGAGGGUGCAAGCGUUACCCGGAAUUAUUGGGCGUAAAGCGUCCGCAGGCGGUUUAUUAAGUUGGAUAUUAAAUCUCGUAGCCCAACUACGAGGCUGUGUCCAAAACUGGUAGACUAGAGACUUUCAGAGGUGCGUGGAAUUCUGUGUGUAGGGGUAAAAUCCGUAGAUACACAGAGGAACACCAAAAGCGAAGGCAGCGCACUGGGAAAGUUCUGACGCUCAUGGACGAAAGCGUGGGUAGCGAACGGG
This 253-nucleotide unclassified non-coding RNA is filed under the name uncultured Candidatus Altimarinota bacterium. Its description in RNAcentral is "uncultured Candidatus Gracilibacteria bacterium contains 16S-23S intergenic spacer region". It matches the Rfam family "Bacterial small subunit ribosomal RNA", at positions 524 to 776 of the family's 1533-position model. Lineage: Bacteria; Candidatus Altimarinota. The record is from RNAcentral.